CCUCACGCACAUUGGUUUUUAAAAACAUGGAGAAAAAUACUUCCAUUUUCUCUCCGUUUGGUUUUCUUUCCGUGGUGGUUUUGAUCGCUAUGGCUAACUAUUAUGGAGGAAUUGUAGCCGAAGGCAGACAAGUAUGUGAUGGCAACAUUUUGGGACGAAUAAUUGUUCGUGGCGAAUGUAGGAACUGUGUUGCUCCCUGCAGAGACCGCUUCAACAACGUUGUUAGGAUUCAAUGUGCCCCUCUUCCGUUCAAUCAAAUCGAGUGCUUCUGUUGUGGUCCUGUGACGAUUCAUGAAUCACUAGAAACGUCUUAAGUUAGACCAAAUGCGAUUUAUCAAGCCAAGAUCUUAAACUUGUAAAUUUGUAUUUUAUAAAAUAAGAACGAUUGUGGAAAUCGUUAAUCGAAUCCAUCUAUGUGAUUCCUCUGUUAUCGUUUAUCAAGGAUAUAAUAAAAACUAAGUUUCUUCGGUUUGAUGAAAA
Molecule: long non-coding RNA, 480 nt
Organism: Papaver somniferum (opium poppy)
Lineage: Eukaryota; Viridiplantae; Streptophyta; Magnoliopsida; Ranunculales; Papaveraceae
Exons: 2
Source: RefSeq, a predicted model, not a curated record